GCACCGAGGACCGGCGUGCGUCUGAGCGUCGUCUGAAGGCAGAGAUGAUCCACAGCCAGCAGGGUGUUCCCGACAGGAGGGGGCGUGGCGUGGAUUACCACAGAUCUGACCGCUGACACCCACCUGAGGGAGACGCUGCCUCAGAUCUCCAGGCUGCUUGGUCGUGGUCUUUCUGCUCCAGAACAUCUUCAUCAACUACGUCUUCUUCUGAAGAGGCCCUCAGAUGCUGCAGUCUCUGACCUUAAGGAGGAACUGCUGCUUUCACUCUGUAACCAGACGGCGGUUAUUUUAAAGACCCAGCUCCUGGAGGCUUUGAGUGAAAAUUUAACAUCCAUCAAAACAGAACUACAGACAGUUAAAUGUGAGCUGUCGGUCAGUAUUUCAAACAUCAGUCUGACCCGGGUGUCCUAAAGCUCGCUGUGGGUGAAACAGAAACUUCAGUCUCCACAUCAGCGACGACAUCGUCACACUCCACAGCAGAGCACCUGUCUGCUGAACGUCUAAAAGUGGACUGUAAAGGUGAAGAAUGUAAGCAGCGGAACAGAUGUGAGCAGAAAGAAGUCAUUUUCUUUUCUCUCUGGUUGACUUGAUGCUGUCAGAUGCAGAUGUUGGAGCUGAUUCUGAUCUUUCAGGAGAAAAAGCUGCUUUUCCUUCUCAGACUUUUCAGGAAAUUAUUCUCUCAGGUUUUCUCCGCUGUUUAUAUUUUUAUUAUCUGUGAUUAUUUCAUUAUUGUAAAAUAAAGUUGGAGGCAUAAAGACUCA
This is a long non-coding RNA of Acanthochromis polyacanthus (spiny chromis), 761 nucleotides long. RefSeq lists it as uncharacterized. The record is from RefSeq and is a predicted model, not a curated record. Lineage: Eukaryota; Metazoa; Chordata; Actinopteri; Pomacentridae. The transcript has 2 exons.